This 267-nucleotide unclassified non-coding RNA is filed under the name Hevea brasiliensis (rubber tree). Lineage: Eukaryota; Viridiplantae; Streptophyta; Magnoliopsida; Malpighiales; Euphorbiaceae. The record is from RNAcentral.
AAGUACCUUGGUGAAGGAUGAUUCAACACCAUGUGAUCAUCUUAGAUCUGCAUGUAUUAUUGGGAACAAGAAUGCUGAUAGUUCUUUAGGUACUUUAAGGAGCAUGAUGGACACAAUUUUUAGCAAGGAACAGCAUGAAAGAGGAUCCGAUGACACACUGGUUCGAAAAGGGCAUAAAACAACUGUCAGCAAAAGAAGGGCCAAAACUGGUGAUAACCAAAGGCCAAGACCAAGGGAUAGACAGCUGAUCCAAGAUCGGGUGAAGGA